RNAcentral lists this ribosomal RNA (560 nucleotides) under Burkholderia cepacia. RNAcentral describes it as "bacterial SSU rRNA". It matches the Rfam family "Bacterial small subunit ribosomal RNA", at positions 352 to 905 of the family's 1533-position model. Lineage: Bacteria; Pseudomonadati; Pseudomonadota; Betaproteobacteria; Burkholderiales; Burkholderiaceae. The record is from RNAcentral.
CAGUGGGGAAUUUUGGACAAUGGGCGAAAGCCUGAUCCAGCAAUGCCGCGUGUGUGAAGAAGGCCUUCGGGUUGUAAAGCACUUUUGUCCGGAAAGAAAUCCUUGGCUCUAAUACAGUCGGGGGAUGACGGUACCGGAAGAAUAAGCACCGGCUAACUACGUGCCAGCAGCCGCGGUAAUACGUAGGGUGCAAGCGUUAAUCGGAAUUACUGGGCGUAAAGCGUGCGCAGGCGGUUUGCUAAGACCGAUGUGAAAUCCCCGGGCUCAACCUGGGAACUGCAUUGGUGACUGGCAGGCUAGAGUAUGGCAGAGGGGGGUAGAAUUCCACGUGUAGCAGUGAAAUGCGUAGAGAUGUGGAGGAAUACCGAUGGCGAAGGCAGCCCCCUGGGCCAAUACUGACGCUCAUGCACGAAAGCGUGGGGAGCAAACAGGAUUAGAUACCCUGGUAGUCCACGCCCUAAACGAUGUCAACUAGUUGUUGGGGAUUCAUUUCCUUACUAACGUAGCUAACGCGUGAAGUUGACCGCCUGGGGAGUACGGUCGCGAGAUUAAAACUCAAA